This 891-nucleotide long non-coding RNA is filed under the name Zostera marina. RNAcentral describes it as "long non-coding RNA (ZMAR_LNC003925)". Lineage: Eukaryota; Viridiplantae; Streptophyta; Magnoliopsida; Alismatales; Zosteraceae. The record is from RNAcentral.
AAAAACUUAUUGAUUCUAGUUCUGGUUUAGGCUUUUUUGCUGGGUAAUUGAUUGUUAGGAUAUCUAAAGAUCUUUAUACGUGGGUAGUUGCUGUGAUUACGAAUAUUGUUUUUGAUUACUAGCUUUGUUUAUUAGGUUUACUUGGUUUGGUUUUGUUCUUGCGUGUUUUGAUAGGGCUCUAGCUAAAACUCGGCAUUCGUUGGUUGUAUGUUCCUUAUCCUUAUGGUAUUCACAGUAUUUCCCAUUGUUUCGAAUUUGUGUGGUUGUUUCGCUCAUUGGUUUGAGGGGUGGUAAAACGUCUUAUAGUUCUAAAAAUUUGUCUCUUUGGUUCUCCUUUGGUUUUGUGGGGGUUGGAAGUGUUUUUAUUUUGGGUUGUGACCGUGUUUCUAAAUUCUUUGAAUUUUUCUUCCAACAUUUCCUCGAUGUCCAUUUCUACAUAUGCCUUUUCGAAAAGAUCGAAUACUUUAGUUAGUGGAUCUUCUGUUAUGUUUACUGCAAAACAGGUUGGUCUGAGGCCGGCUCUAAAAGCCAUGAUAGCGCUGUCUGAUGGGCGUUCAACCCGAUUCAGAGUUUCAGUGAACCUUUUACGUAGUUUCUCAGAGUUUCAUUGGCCUUUUGUUUUACGUUUAAGAGUGCUCCUUGAUGUGUUUUUCUUCUAAUUAAAUGGUUGAAAAUUUCCAGAAAUUUAUGUUUUAAUUCUUCAAAGUUGUUUAUACUGCCGACUGGUAAAUUGAUGUGCCAAUUUAUGGCGUCAUUUUCCAGGGUUCUUCUAAACAUUCUACACCAUAAAUCUUCCCUGUCUGUUACGUCUUCGAUGUUUGCCAUAAAUUUGUAUAUGUGGUCCAUGGGGUCCGAGUUUCCCUUAUAUUGUGACAGUUUGGGCCUUUUCAA